This 65-nucleotide transfer RNA is filed under the name Mirhipipteryx andensis. Its description in RNAcentral is "tRNA-Thr". It matches the Rfam family "tRNA". From Rfam's summary of the family: Transfer RNA (tRNA) molecules are approximately 80 nucleotides in length. The record is from RNAcentral. Lineage: Eukaryota; Metazoa; Arthropoda; Insecta; Orthoptera; Ripipterygidae.
GUUUUAAUAAUUUAAUUAAAAAUAUUGGUCUUGUAAACCAAAAAUAAGAGAAUUCUUUUAAAACU